GGGACAAUGGCACACGUCGAAAACAUCGGAGAAUCAGCCUUCCAAGCUGAUGGUGCGGGUUCGAUUCCCGUCACCCG
This 77-nucleotide transfer RNA is filed under the name Nocardia nova SH22a. RNAcentral's name for it is "tRNA-Ser (CGA) (tRNA-Ser-CGA-2-1)". Lineage: Bacteria; Bacillati; Actinomycetota; Actinomycetes; Mycobacteriales; Nocardiaceae. The record is from RNAcentral.